GUCGAGCGGCAGCGACUUAACUGAACCUUCGGGGAACGUUAAGGGCGGCGAGCGGCGGACGGGUGAGUAAUGCCUGGGAAUAUGCCCUGAUGUGGGGGAUAACUAUUGGAAACGAUAGCCAAUACCGCAUAAUCUCUUUGGAGCAAAGAGGGGGACCUUCGGGCCUCUCGCGUCAGGAUUAGCCCAGGUGGGAUUAGCUUGUUGGUGAGGUAAUGGCUCACCAAGGCAACGAUCCCUAGCUGGUCUGAGAGGAUGAUCAGCCACACUGGAACUGAGACACGGUCCAGACUCCUACGGGAGGCAGCAGUGGGGAAUAUUGCACAAUGGGGGAAACCCUGAUGCAGCCAUGCCGCGUGUGUGAAGAAGGCCUUCGGGUUGUAAAGCACUUUCAGUAGGGAGGAAGGUAGUGUAGUUAACACCUGCAUUAUUUGACGUUACCUACAGAAGAAGCACCGGCUAACUCCGUGCCAGCAGCCGCGGUAAUACGGAGGGUGCGAGCGUUAAUCGGAAUUACUGGGCGUAAAGCGCGUGCAGGCGGCCUGUUAAGUCAGAUGUGAAAGCCCAGGGCUUAACCUCGGAAUUGCAUUUGAAACUGGCAGGCUAGAGUCUUGUAGAGGGGGGUAGAAUUUCAGGUGUAGCGGUGAAAUGCGUAGAGAUCUGAAGGAAUACCAGUGGCGAA
This 679-nucleotide ribosomal RNA is filed under the name uncultured Photobacterium sp. RNAcentral's name for it is "bacterial SSU rRNA". It matches the Rfam family "Bacterial small subunit ribosomal RNA", at positions 61 to 719 of the family's 1533-position model. The record is from RNAcentral. Lineage: Bacteria; Pseudomonadati; Pseudomonadota; Gammaproteobacteria; Vibrionales; Vibrionaceae.